CCUACGGGGGGCAGCAGUGGGGAAUAUUGCACAAUGGGGGAAACCCUGAUGCAGCGACGCCGCGUGAGUGAAGAAGUAAUUCGUUAUGUAAAGCUCUAUCAGCAGGGAAGAAAAUGACGGUACCUGAGUAAGAAUCCCCGGCUAACUUCGUGCCAGCAGCCGCGGUAAGAUGUAGGGGGCAGCCGUUAUCCGGAUUUACUGGGGGUAAAGGGGGCGUAGGCGGCAGGGCAAGGCUGGAGUGAAAGGCGGGGGCCCAACCCCCGGACUGCUGUGGAAACUGGACGGCUGGAGUGCAGGAGAGGUAAGUGGAAUUCCUGGUGUAGCGGUGAAAUGCGUAGAUAUUAGGAGGAACACCAGUGGCGAAGGCGGCUUACUGGACUGUAACUGACGUUGAGGCUCGAAGGCGUGGGGAGCAAACAGGAUUAGAUACCCCAGUAGUC
RNAcentral lists this ribosomal RNA (440 nucleotides) under uncultured bacterium. RNAcentral's name for it is "partial 16S ribosomal RNA". It matches the Rfam family "Bacterial small subunit ribosomal RNA", at positions 338 to 795 of the family's 1533-position model. The record is from RNAcentral.